CCUACGGGAGGCAGCAGUAGGGAAUCUUUCACAAUGGGCGAAAGCCUGAUGGAGCAACGCCGCGUGCAGGAUGAAGGCCUUCGGGUUGUAAACUGCUUUUAUAAGCGAGAAAUAUGAUGGUAACUUAUGAAUAAGGAUCGGCUAACUACGUGCCAGCAGCCGCGGUCAUACGUAGGAUCCGAGCAUUAUCCGGAGUGAAUGGGUGUAAAGAGUUGCGUAGGUGGCAUAAUAAGUAGCUAGUGAAACCUGGUGGCUCAACCAUUCAGACUAUUAGCUAAACUGUUAAGCUCGAGACCGUUAGGGGCAUCUGGAAUUUCUAGUGGAGGAGUGAAAUCCGUAGAUAUUAGAAGGAACACCAGUGGCGUAGGCAGGAUGCUGGGACGGUUCUGACACUAAGGCACGAAAGCGUAGGGAGCAAACGGGAUUAGAUACCCCAGUAGUC
Molecule: ribosomal RNA, 442 nt
Filed under: uncultured bacterium
Lineage: Bacteria
Description: partial 16S ribosomal RNA
Rfam family: Bacterial small subunit ribosomal RNA
Source: RNAcentral